Molecule: transfer RNA, 94 nt
Filed under: Aspergillus egyptiacus
Lineage: Eukaryota; Fungi; Ascomycota; Eurotiomycetes; Eurotiales; Aspergillaceae
Description: tRNA-Glu
Rfam family: tRNA
About the family: Transfer RNA (tRNA) molecules are approximately 80 nucleotides in length.
Source: RNAcentral
UCCGAUAUGGUGUAACGGCUAACAUCGCCGCCUUUCAUAACUAAAUGAGAGUUCUGGUCCGCGGCAGCUCGGGGUUCGAUUCCCCGUAUCGGAG